GGGUUGAAAGCUCCGGCGGUGCAGGAUGAGCCCGCGGCCUAUCAGCUUGUUGGUGAGGUAGUGGCUCACCAAGGCGACGACGGGUAGCCGGCCUGAGAGGGCGACCGGCCACACUGGGACUGAGACACGGCCCAGACUCCUACGGGAGGCAGCAGUGGGGAAUAUUGCACAAUGGGCGCAAGCCUGAUGCAGCGACGCCGCGUGAGGGAUGACGGCCUUCGGGUUGUAAACCUCUUUCAGCAGGGAAGAAGCGAAAGUGACGGUACCUGCAGAAGAAGCGCCGGCUAACUACGUGCCAGCAGCCGCGGUAAUACGUAGGGCGCAAGCGUUGUCCGGAAUUAUUGGGCGUAAAGAGCUCGUAGGCGGCUUGUCGCGUCGGUUGUGAAAGCCCGGGGCUUAACCCCGGGUCUGCAGUCGAUACGGGCAGGCUAGAGUUCGGUAGGGGAGAUCGGAAUUCCUGGUGUAGCGGUGAAAUGCGCAGAUAUCAGGAGGAACACCGGUGGCGAAGGGGACUUGGG
RNAcentral lists this ribosomal RNA (518 nucleotides) under Streptomyces sp. MSWC14. RNAcentral describes it as "bacterial SSU rRNA". It matches the Rfam family "Bacterial small subunit ribosomal RNA", at positions 197 to 733 of the family's 1533-position model. Lineage: Bacteria; Bacillati; Actinomycetota; Actinomycetes; Kitasatosporales; Streptomycetaceae. The record is from RNAcentral.